GAUGAACGCUGGCGGCGUGCCUAAUACAUGCAAGUCGAGCGAACGGACGAGAAGCUUGCUGCUCUGAUGUUAGCGGCGGACGGGUGAGUAACACGUGGAUAACCUACCUAUAAGACUGGGAUAACUUCGGGAAACCGGAGCUAAUACCGGAUAAUAUUUUGAACCGCAUGGUUCAAAAGUGAAAGACGGUCUUGCUGUCACUUAUAGAUGGAUCCGCGCUGCAUUAGCUAGUUGGUAAGGUAACGGCUUACCAAGGCAACGAUGCAUAGCCGACCUGAGAGGGUGGUCGGCCACACUGGAACUUAGACACGGUCCAGAGUCCUACGGGAGGCAGCAGUAGGGAAUCUUCCGCAAUGGGCGAAAGCCUGACGGAGCAAGGCCGCGUGAGUGAUGAAGGUCUUCGGAUCGUAAAACUCUGUUAUUAGGGGAGAACAUAUGUGUAAGUAACUGUGCACAUCUUGACGGUACCUAAUCAGAAAGCCACGGCUAACUACGUG
This 497-nucleotide ribosomal RNA is filed under the name uncultured bacterium. Its description in RNAcentral is "partial 16S ribosomal RNA". It matches the Rfam family "Bacterial small subunit ribosomal RNA", at positions 28 to 507 of the family's 1533-position model. The record is from RNAcentral.